This is a non-coding RNA of Caenorhabditis elegans, 73 nucleotides long. The record is from the annotation of a RefSeq genome assembly. Lineage: Eukaryota; Metazoa; Nematoda; Chromadorea; Rhabditida; Rhabditidae.
GAUUUUUUGGCUCAGUCGGUAAGAGGUAUGACUGGUAAGCAAUAGGUCCGGGGUUCGACCCCCAGUGGUGGUA